This 1074-nucleotide long non-coding RNA is filed under the name Equus caballus (horse). RNAcentral's name for it is "lncRNA (ENSECAG00000037809.3)". Lineage: Eukaryota; Metazoa; Chordata; Mammalia; Perissodactyla; Equidae. The record is from RNAcentral.
CAAUGUGAUAAUCCUCCAUCUUGGAAAGAUCCUUUUCAUCAUGGUAUGGGACUUCUAGAAGUCUCUUUGCUGAAAGAAUGGCACUUCAGGAAUGGAAAUUCCUACUUUGUUAGGUCAACGGUGAGAAAUUUGAGGAAAGGAGGGGUGGGUUGUAGAGGUAGCAUAACAUGGCAGAAAGAACACAACAGAAAGAGCACACCUAGAGAACUGAUGUUCCAGGUCACCAUUUCUAACUGUGUGAUGCGAACAGUCCCUCACUUUGCAGAAGCCAAGUUUCCUCAUAGUACAUUUCUCAUAGCGGUGUUGAGGUCAACUGGGAUAGUUGAUGGGAAAGCCCUUUGUAAUCAGUAAAGACAUGUCAAAGUACAAGGUAUUGUUACUCUUCCAGCAGCACUCCUCAAAGGCCAGAGUCCCGAGCUGCCAAGAACGCCAGCCCCUUGCAAGGUAGCCACUUGGCAAGAAAGGCGGGCAAAAUUGUUCUAUCCUUUUCCACCUCAUUCUGUAGAAAGUACUAAUAAACAACAAUAACCAAUGAAACCCUUGUUAAAAUCUUUACAUCAUCAAGGUUAACUCUAAUUUUUUCAUCUUUUCUCAAACGUUGAUUUCUUAGAUUUGUACGGCAACAAAUUCUCCUGUGUAAUAGGUGGAUAGUCCACUUGAAUUCGUUUUUGUGAAUGCUACACAUUUAAGCGUCAUUUUGCAUCUGAUCAGUUCUCCCUAAUCUUUGGAAGACAUUUCCCAUUUCUGGUAUUCACUCAGUGUCUUUCUGCUUAUUCAAUUUGCUGUGGAAUCCUGGCUGUCACAGGAGGUCUCAGAACAGCCUGGAUGAGAGCUGACAGCUUCCCUGCUCCUCACUGACUUGGGAUUCCCAGAGCGCUCUCCCCACAGCUUCUGACCUGAGCUGUGCAAACCCAGCAAGCCUAAGACAAAGACAUUUGGGGAAAGUAGAAUCCUGAAAAGUUAAAGGAUUUUUUUUCAACGCCAUAUGAUUAGUAAGCAGCCUGACGAGGAUCUAGGAGCAAUGAAAUGAAGAUAAGCCUCCCUUUAGCAUUGAAACCAAGCGAAACACAGGGC